UAGAUACCCUGGUAGUCCACGCAGUAAACGAUGAAUGUUAGUCGUCGGGAUGCAAGUCAUUUCGGUGAUGCAGUUAACACAUUAAACAUUCCGCCUGGGGAGUACGGUCGCAAGAUUAAAACUCAAAGGAAUAGACGGGGACCCGCACAAGUGGUGGAGCAUGUGGUUUAAUUCGAAGAUACGCGAAGAACCUUACCUAGCCUUGACAUUGAUAGAAUCUUCCAGAGAUGGAGGAGUGCCUUUCGGGGAACUUGAAAACAGGUGCUGCACGGCUGUCGUCAGCUCGUGUCGUGAGAUGUUGGGUUAAGUCCCGCAACGAGCGCAACCCUCGUCAUUAGUUACUAACAGUUCGGCUGAGGACUCUAAUGAGACUGCCUUCGUAAGGAGGAGGAAGGUGAGGACGACGUCAAGUCAUCAUGGCCCUUACGGCUAGGGCGACACACGUGCUACAAUGGUUAGGACAAUGAGAAGCGAUACCGCGAGGUGGAGCAAAUCUAUAAACCUAAUCUCAGUUCGGAUUGUAGUCUGCAACUCGACUACAUGAAGCUGGAAUCACUAGUAAUCGUAGAUCAGCCAUGCUACGGUGAAUACGUUCCCGGGUCUUGUACUCACCGCCCGUCACACCAUGGGAGUUGAUUUCACCCGAAGCGGGGAAGCUAAACUGGCUACCCUCCACGGUGGAAUUAGCGACUGGGGUGAAGUCGUAACAAGGUA
Molecule: ribosomal RNA, 714 nt
Filed under: uncultured bacterium
Lineage: Bacteria
Description: bacterial SSU rRNA
Rfam family: Bacterial small subunit ribosomal RNA
Source: RNAcentral